CUUCUAAUAAAUCCUUGGCACAUGGCCUCAACAAAAUAUCCUUAAAGAUUCAAAUCAAUAUCAACAGGUUCAUAGUGACACAUAAGGAAUGAAAACAUGACAACAAAUUCCCAUCCCGUUACGUAUCAGAGCCCUAGGACACAUGAGCCACCACUUCAGUUACUUUUCAAUACCUGCAAGUUACCCAUACGAAGGGCAACAAUUCCAAGCAGAAGGGGUGAGAUUCACAAACAAUAAUAAUAGGUAUAUAAAUC
RNAcentral lists this long non-coding RNA (254 nucleotides) under Medicago truncatula (barrel medic). RNAcentral's name for it is "long non-coding RNA (MTRU_LNC000582)". The record is from RNAcentral. Lineage: Eukaryota; Viridiplantae; Streptophyta; Magnoliopsida; Fabales; Fabaceae.